Molecule: long non-coding RNA, 433 nt
Filed under: Salmo salar (Atlantic salmon)
Lineage: Eukaryota; Metazoa; Chordata; Actinopteri; Salmoniformes; Salmonidae
Description: lncRNA (ENSSSAG00000067035.2, ENSSSAG00075030174.1)
Source: RNAcentral
AUUGUUAUGACAAAGCCUUUACAGUGUAGUGAAGAAGGCGCAACAGCACCUCUUCAACCUCAGGAGGCUGAAGAAAUUUGACUUGUCACCUAAAAAGCCUCACAAACUUUUACAGAUACACAAUUGAGAGCAUCCUGUUGGGCUGUAUCACCGCCUGGUAAGGCAACUGCACCACCCACAACCGUAGGGCUCUCCAGAGGGUGGUGCGGUCUGCACAACGCAUCACCGGAGGAAACCUGCCUGCCCUCUAGGACACCUACAGCACCCGAUGUCACAGGAAGUCAAAAAAGAUCAUCAAGGACAACAACCACCCGAGCCAUGGCCUGUUCACCCCGCUACCAUCCAGAAGGCGAGGUGCAGACCCAGAGGACACCAUCCUCAAUGCCUUCAAAGUCUUUGAUCCUGAGGGGAAGGAGACCUUGAAGAAGGACUU